This 274-nucleotide ribosomal RNA is filed under the name uncultured bacterium. Its description in RNAcentral is "partial 16S ribosomal RNA". It matches the Rfam family "Bacterial small subunit ribosomal RNA", at positions 523 to 796 of the family's 1533-position model. The record is from RNAcentral.
CUACGGGGGGUGCAAGCGUUAAUCGGAAUUACUGGGCGUAAAGCGCGCGUAGGCGGUUUGCUCAGUCGGAUGUGAAAGCCCAGGGCUCAACCUUGGAACUGCAUACGAUACUGGCAAACUAGAGUGUGAGAGAGGAUAGUGGAAUUUCCGGUGUAGCGGUGAAAUGCGUAGAUAUCGGAAGGAACAUCAGUGGCGAAGGCGACUGUCUGGCUCAACACUGACGCUGAGGUGCGAAAGCGUGGGGAGCAAACAGGAUUAGAAACCCCAGUAGUCC